AUGCAGACUGUGUCCAGUUUAUUUGUUCAUAAUGCUGCUUGUCACUCCUCUCCUCCUCUCUUACUUACAUUCAUUCUUCCUUGUCCAGUCACAUUCUUCAGUCAUUCUGUUCUCGUUGAGCCAUUUCAACCAUUUUCAGAUUUGAUCCUCCAUUUCUGGGUGUGCAAUUGGGCCCCUCCUCUUUUUUCUUUUGGCACUUUUCUUGUUUUCCUCUUUUUGUGGUAUUUUGUUAUUUUCCGGCUUUCUGUAGGACUUUUCUUCAUUCUUCGACCUCGCUCAUGUUGCUUCACUCCGUCUUUAAGCGUCCUCCUCAGCCUCCUCCUCAAACUCACCUUCCUCCUCGGCAGUGGCGUCCUGGUACUGCUGGUACUCAGACACCAGGUCGUUCAUGUUGCUCUCUGCCUCAGUGAACUCCAUCUCGUCCAUGCCCUCUCCGGUGUACCAAUGGAGGAAGGCCUUGCGGCGGAACAUGGCGGUGAACUGCUCAGAGAUACGCUUGAACAGCUCCUGGAUGGCCGUGCUGUUGCCGAUGAAGGUGACGGCCAUUUUGAGGCCUCUUGGAGGAAUGUCGCAGACGGCGGUCUUGACGUUGUUGGGGAUCCAUUCAACAAAGUAGCUGCUGUUCUUGUUCUGGACGUUGAGCAUCUGCUCGUCCACCUCCUUCAUGGACAUGCGGCCACGGAAGACAGCGGCGACAGUGAGGUAGCGACCGUGACGCGGGUCACAUGCGGCCAUCAUGUUCUUGGCGUCGAACACUUGCUGGGUGAGUUCCGGCACGGUGAGGGCACGGUACUGCUGGCUCCCCCUGCUGGUGAGGGGGGCGAAGCCGGGGAUGAAGAAGUGGAGACGGGGGAAAGGCACCAUGUUCACAGCCAAUUUACGGAGGUCGGCGUUGAGCUGGCCGGGGAAACGCAGGCAGGUGGUCACUCCGCUCAUGGUGGCCGACACCAGGUGGUUGAGGUCUCCGUAAGUCGGCGUGGUGAGUUUGAGGGUCCGGAAGCAGAUGUCGUAGAGAGCCUCGUUGUCAAUACAGAAGGUCUCGUCCGUGUUCUCUACAAGUUGGUGAACCGAGAGGGUGGCAUUGUAGGGCUCCACCACCGUGUCUGA
RNAcentral lists this long non-coding RNA (1107 nucleotides) under Oncorhynchus kisutch (coho salmon). Its description in RNAcentral is "lncRNA (ENSOKIG00005048454.1)". The record is from RNAcentral. Lineage: Eukaryota; Metazoa; Chordata; Actinopteri; Salmoniformes; Salmonidae.